Molecule: non-coding RNA, 72 nt
Organism: Hyaena hyaena (striped hyena)
Lineage: Eukaryota; Metazoa; Chordata; Mammalia; Carnivora; Hyaenidae
Source: the annotation of a RefSeq genome assembly
GCCUGGGUGGCUGAGUUGGUUAAGUGCCUGACUUCUGCUCAUGGUUCGUGAGUUCGAGCCUCACCUCAGGCU